This 4765-nucleotide long non-coding RNA is filed under the name Brassica napus (rape). Its description in RNAcentral is "long non-coding RNA (BNAP_LNC015803)". The record is from RNAcentral. Lineage: Eukaryota; Viridiplantae; Streptophyta; Magnoliopsida; Brassicales; Brassicaceae.
GGGGGGUCAGCUGAUCCCACUAAAAUAUUAAAAACUAAACUUGUUACACUACUUAUGUAAAGAAUAAAUGGUCUAAUGGCGUUAGUUCUCUAGUAUUGACUAUUGUUUUAAUCCUCAAUCUAUGAACUCAAAGAUCUUAAUAAGAAUGACUCAACUCUUAUUAUUAGCUUAAGAAAAUAACUCAAAACUUAAGCUCUCACAAAGAUCUCUAUAAUCCCACAAGUUAUGCAACACCCUUGCAUCUCCUUAUAUAUAAAUCAAAUUUCCUAAACUCAUUAGGUAUAACAUAAAAGGAUAUUUCCUAUUCCUUUAAACCAUAUGCAAAUAGGAUUAGGAUGACUUGCUUUCUAAGCUAUCUUCAAGCUUACUUCCAACAUUAACCCCCUUAAACUUGAAGUUAACUUCUCUCAAGUCUUGUACUCCAACAAGUUCCCUCAUCUCUUUGAAUUUGAUUCUUCCCAAUGCCUUAGUGAGGAUGUCCGCAUUUUGCUCACUUCCUGGUACAUGUUGUACGUCGACUUGCUCAUUCUCUAUGCACUCUCUUAUGAAGUGGUAUCUCUUAUGUAUAUGUUUGCUUCUACCGUGGAAGACCGGGUUCUUUGUAAGAGCAAUGGCAGAUUUGUUAUCGAUCUUUACCACCACUUUCUUGCUUGAUGUACCGGACACUUCUUCUAGUAAAUCCUGCAACCAUAUCGCCUGCUUUGCAGCCUCAGUAGCAGCCAUAAAUUCUGCUUCACACGAUGAUAAGGCGACUGUAUCUUGCUUCUGUGAACACCAGCUUAUUGGACAGUUAUCAAGAUAAAAGACAUAGCUUGUGGUGCUUCGUCCAUCAUCCUCAUCUAUGUUAUGAGAACUAUCACUAUAUCCUACUAAGCUUAUGUUGCGGUUAUGCUCAAACACAAGACCAUACGAUACUGUUCCCUUCAGAUAUCGCAGUACCUGUUUUAGAGCUACAGCGUGUGAUGUCUUCGGCUUGUGCAUGUACCGACUCAGAAUUCCCACAGAAAACGACAGGUCCGGACGUGUAUGUAACAAGUAUCUGAGACAUCCGAUCAUUCUUCUAUAGUUCUUCUCGUCAACGUCUUCUUCAUCAAGUGAUUUGGACAGUUUAAGUCCAAACUCCAUCGGUGCCUGUACCGCAUUACAAUCAUUCAUACCUGCUUCAUCGAGUAUUCUGUUUGCAUAUCUCUCUUGUUUGAGCACAAUUACCUCUUCACAUUGAGUUACUUCGAUUCCUAAGUAGUAGUUCAAUCUCCCGAGGUCACUCAUCUCGAAUUUCUUGGCCAUACUUGCUUUAAACUCUAAGACCUGGUCGAGACUUGAUCCAGUGAUGAGCAAGUCAUCGACGUAUACGGCUACUAGGAGUAUAUGUUCGUCCUCAUGCUUUCGAUACAGGGAGGGCUCCUUGUGACAUCGUAUGAACUUAGGUGCUUGAAGAACUUGGUUUAAUUUCUCAUUACAAGCCCUAGGCGCUUGUUUCAGUCCAUAUAAUGCUUUGUAUAGUUUGUAUACUUUCCCUUCGCUUCCCUGAACUUCAAAACCUUCUGGUUGCUUAACGUAUACAGUCUCCUUCAAAUCUCCAUGGAGAAACGCCGUUUUUACGUCUAAGUGGUGUACUUCCAGCCACUGGAUGCAGACAACGCAAUAAGAAAUCAUACGGUUUCUAUUCUUGCCACUGGUGCAAAAACUUCCUCAAAAUCUAUCCCAUGACGUUGGAUAUAUCCUUUGGCAACCAACCUUGACUUGUGUUUGUUGAUAGUUCCAUCAGCAUUGCGUUUGAUCUUGAAGAUCCAUUUCAAUCCGAUAGCUUUUGCUCCAGCGGGAAGUUCCACCAGCGUCCACGUCCCGUUCUUGAUUAUAGACUUGAUCUCAUCUUCACAACCCUCUCUCCAAACUUUCUCCUUUAUUGCUUCACUAAACUCCCAUGGUUCUUCAUCUAGAAGCAAAAGAUACUCGCACUCUUCUUCAGCAAGUUAUAUGUACUGAUCCAAAUAACUUGGGCGCUUUGUAACUCUUGUAGAUCUUCUAGGUACCUCAUUACUUGUACCAACGUCUUGAUCCAAUGUUGUUGUUGUUGGUACGAGGGUUUCUUCUUCCUUACUGUGUUCUUCUUCUGGCUCUGUUUCAUCAGCUUCUCCUUGUAUCCCAUUGUUUCCGUAGUCUCCGAAGGUUACUUUGAACAUUCCCGGCUGUUCUGUGGUCAUAUCAGCACCUGAUACGUUCCAUUCCCAACACUUGUUCUCAUCAAAGCUUAUGUCUCUACUCACUACCGUCCUUCGAUGGGUGGGAUCGAGAAGUCUGUAUGCUUUUGAACCUGGUUCGGUUCCUAGGUGAACAAGUGCUCGAGAACGGUCAUCAAGUUUCUUUAUGUGUGCUGUGUCGACCUUCGCAUACCAUACGCACCCGAACACAUGUAUGUGUGUCACGCUAGGCUUCCUCCUUUUGUAUACUUCGUAUGGUGUUUGAGAUGUUAGCACACGAGUUAAGAUACGGUUGAUGAGGUAUGUCGCAUGCCUCACCGCUUCUCCCCAUAGAUAGUUAGGCAUCUUCAUGUGUUUCAUUAAACUUCUAGCCAUCUCCAUAAGCGUUAUGUUCCGUCUCUCUACAACGCCGUUUUGCUGGGGCGUGUAAGGAGCGGUUAGAUGCCUUACUAUACCCGAAGCUUCGCAUAAUGUAUUGAACUUUGUCGAUGUAAAUUAUCCUCGUCUAUCAGUCCUGAAUGUUUUGAUUGAUGAUCCUGUCUCACUCUCGACUUUCACCUUGAAGUUUUUAAAAUUUUCGAAUGCUUCUCCUUUGUCUUUCAUUAGUAUGAACCACAUAUACCGGGAGUGAUCAUCGAUUAACACAAAAAUAUAUCGAUUCUUCGCAGCAGUGGGCGGAGAGAUCGGACCACAUAAGUCCCCGUGCACGAGGCCUAGUACUUCUUCAGCACGAUACGUGCUUGCUUGUGGGAAUGGCCGUCUUGCCUGUUUCCCAAGCAUGCAGGAAGAACAUGUUUUCUUCUCAACCGUAAUCUUUGGCAUUCCGAUCACUACUUCCUUUCUCACCAUGGUUUUUAAUGUCUCUGCUCCCAAGUGCCCUAGUCUCGCAUGCCAAAUCGUAUAAUCAUCGCUGGAAGCUAGUUGUAGACAUUCGGUAACCACAACCUCCAUGUUUACUUUGUAUAAUCUAUUUCUUGCCCUUUUUGCUUUAGUGAUCAGUAUUCCAUCUUUGUCAUGUAGGGUUAGAUAGUCUUCUUUCAUCCUUACGUCACACCCGGAUUCAGUUGCCUGACCGAGACUAAUAAUAUUGCUUCGCAGUGCCGGAAUGAAAUAUACAUCAGCCAGCGUUUUAUGAUUUCCUCCCUUGCUUCCAAAGACAAUAGACCCUUUUCCUUUUAUGUCUAUACGCGAAUCAUCACCAAAUCUCACUUUCCCUGUGACAGUUUCGUCGAGUGUCUUGAAGUAGCUGCGUUUACCAGUCAUGUGGUUGCUAGCACCAUUGUCUAGGUACCACAUGUUGUCUCCAUUCGAACAUACUUCAAGUUCCUUCGGCGUGAUGUUCUUCUCAUUUAAAUAAACCACUUCAUGCAUCAUUAGCCCUUCUGCUUCUUGAGUCUCGUCUUCUUUACGGUUUUCAUAUGCUUCUUGAAGUUUCAGCAAACGAUCCGGACAUGCUGAUGCGAAGUGACCAUUCUUAUCACACCUGAAACAGGUGAUUUUUGUCAUAUCAAAAUCUCUGUAUGAUCUCCCUCGGCCACGACCCCUACCAUAGAAUCUUCCUCCUCUUCCUCUGUUUCAUUGAUUCUCCAUCACGGUUUGUGUUGUUGUAUGAAGGUUCCAUUUUGUGUACAUCAGCUUGCUCUGAUCAUCAUUGGUUUCUUCUUCAUUGUUGCAUACUCUUUCUUCAUAGGCUUUUAACCGACCAAUAAUAUCUUCAAAGCUUGUCGACUUGAGAUCAAGAACCUGUUCAAGAGACGCCACAAUGUGUAUGUAUUUCUUUCUAGGAAGGCUUUGAAGAAAUUUCUUAACCAACUUGGUUUCUUCAAUAUUCUCUCCCAAUGCUGCUGAUUUUGAGGCGAUUUUGGAUAACUUGCCUACGAAGUUAUCGAUUGUAUCUGAAUCCUUCAUCUUUAAUCUUUCAAACUCAGCCAUUAGGGUUUGCAACCUAGCUUCCCUGACUCUACCAGCUCCCAUAUGUCUUGACUUAAUAGCCUCCCACACCGUCUUUGCAUUAUCCAAAUCUCCCAAUUGUAGUAUAAGUUUCGGGGAUCGACUGGAAAAUCAAUGCUACCGCCAUAUCGUUUUUAUCCAACUCUCAUGAUUCCUUCUCGAUCACGUCCCAUGCUUUGUGAACCUUGAGAAAAAUUUUCAUACGUAUGGCCCAAACUGUGUAAUUGCUUGAAGUAAGCAUUGGACAGUUUAUGGUUGAUGAUCCUCCGCCAGCUUUCGUAACCGGACCCGAACUCAAAGUUGUUAUAUCACUCAUGGUUUGGCUUUGAUACCAAAAUAUUGUUUUAAUCCUCAAUCUAUGAACUCAAAGAUCUUAAUAAGAAUGACUCAACUCUUAUUAUUAGCUUAAGAAAAUAACUCAAAACUUAAGCUCUCACAAAGAUCUCUAUAAUCUCACAAGUUAUGCAACAUCCUUGCAUCUCUUUAUAUAUAAAUCAAAUUUUCUAAACUCAUUAGGUAUAACAUAAAAGGAUGUUUCCUAUUCCUUUAAACCAUAUGCAAAUAGGAUUAGGAUGACUUGCUUUCUAAGCUAUCUUCAAGCUUACUUCCAACAU